This is a non-coding RNA of Zonotrichia albicollis (white-throated sparrow), 950 nucleotides long. Lineage: Eukaryota; Metazoa; Chordata; Aves; Passeriformes; Passerellidae. The record is from RefSeq and is a predicted model, not a curated record.
AGAGCUGGGAAUCUGUGGCCAGAUAUCUCUGUGUUGGUGCUCUAGAUACUCUUCAGACAUCCUGCUCCAGCCUACAUACAGAAAAGGCAAGAUCUCCACACCAAAAUUCACAGAAUGACUCCAUUCCCCAGCAAACCUUGUUGAUUUGGUCUGGAAAGAGAGAAGUUCCCUUCACAAGCUCAGAUCUGUCUUGGAGAAGAUGUAAAAGUUGCAUCUAAGAGGAGUUAAGGAGUUUGGUUUUGGUAAUCAAAAGAUGGCUUGCCCUCUCCUCUGUUUCUCCACAUUUUCCAGUUAAUUUUGCUGAACUGGGAAUCUUGCUUUGGGUCUCAGCUGACAGAGACCCUCUGCCACUGACACAAUUUAUAAUCACUGAUGUACACAGGUGACAAUUCCUUCUCCCCUUUUGGUACAAUAGGUCCUCUGCAUGUUGUGAUUCAGCCAAAUACCUGCUCUCCCUCUCAUCCCAGGCAAAAUGACCUGCAGGAAGAAAGAGGAGAGGGCAGGAACAAUGAUCUGUGAGCAAAAGCAGAGUUUCAGCAGAGGAAGGAAAAAGUCUCAGCUCUGACAGUCACCAUCCCAUAGGUGAAGGGCUCUAUGCCUCUUGUCCACUGCCUCCUCCUCCAUAAGAGCAAGACAAAAGGGUGCAAAUUUUGCAGCAAAUGAAGUGUAACUUGGAUAUUAGGGAUGUUUCUUGCUUGUUGUGGGUUGAGAGAGUGCAAAGUGCUGGAGCAAGGUUGUGGAGGUUUUGGAGGAGCAGUUGAACAGGCAGAUUUUGGAACCACAGGAUGUUGUUUGAGCCAUUACAGACUGAGGGAAGUUCCAUCCAGGGAACUGCAGAUGAGGGAGGUCCAUAGGGAUGCAGCUCCCAUGGGAGGAUGUGUGGGUGGUCCUGAGCAGAGCAGAGGCUGAGAAGUGCAGCUCUGGAAGCAGCUCCCUAGAGGAUGGGUGGC